GUGGCAGCAGCCGCGGUAAUACGAGGGGGGCUAGCGUUGUCCGGAUUUAUUGGGCGUAAAGAGUUCGUAGGCGGGUCAGUCAGUCGAAAUUGAAAUCCCACGGCUUAACCGUGGACCCGGUUUCGAUACUGCUGAUCUUGAGUGAGACAGAGGUAAGCGGAAUUCCUGGUGUAGCGGUGAAAUGCGUAGAUAUCAGGAGGAACACCGAAGGCGAAGGCAGCUUACUGGGUCUAUACUGACGCUGAGGAACGAAAGCGUGGGGAGCAAACAGGAUUAGAGACCCUGGUAGUCCACGCUGUAAACGAUGAGUACUUGGUGGUGGGGGAUUCGACCCCUUCACUGUCGGAGCUAACGCGUUAAGUACUCCGCCUGGGGACUACGACCGCAAGGUUGAAACUCAAAGGAAUUGACGGGGACCCGCACAAGCGGUGGAUUAUGUGGUUUAAUUCGAUGCAACGCGAAGAACCUUACCUGGACUUGACAUGUUAGUGACACUCUGGUGAAAGCCAGAGCCUCUGCGAGCUUGCUCAAGGACACUAUCACAGGUGAUGCAUGGCUGUCGUCAGCUCGUGUCGUGAGAUGUUCGGUUAAGUCCGAUAACGAGCGCAACCCCUAUCCUUAGUUGCCAGCACGUCAUGGUGGGGACUCUAGGGAAACUGCCCGGGAUAACCGGAAGGAAGGUGGGGCCGACGUCAAGUCAGUAUGUCCCUUACGUUCAGGGCUACACACGUAAUACAAUGGGAAGUACAGAGGGUAGCAAAACUGCGAAGUUGAGCCAAUCCCAAAAAACUUCCCCAAGUUCGGAUUGCAGUCUGCAACUCGACUGCAUGAAGCAGGAAUCGCUAGUAAUCGCGCAUCAGCAUGGCGCGGUGAAUACGUUCCCGGGUCUUGCACACACCGCCCGUC
Molecule: ribosomal RNA, 906 nt
Filed under: uncultured bacterium
Lineage: Bacteria
Description: bacterial SSU rRNA
Rfam family: Bacterial small subunit ribosomal RNA
Source: RNAcentral